UGCCAGACUCCUACGGGAGGCAGCAGUGGGGAAUAUUGCACAAUGGGGGAAACCCUGAUGCAGCAACGCCGCGUGGGUGAAGGAGCGUUUCGGCGCGUAAAGCCCUGUCAGCGGGGAAGAAGAAAGACGGUACCUGACCAAGAAGCCCCGGCUAACUACGUGCCAGCAGCCGCGGUAAUACGUAGGGGGCAAGCGUUAUCCGGAUUUACUGGGUGUAAAGGGAGCGUAGGUGGCAGGGCAAGUCAGAUGUGAAAACCCGGGGCUCAACCCCGGGAGUGCAUUUGAAACUGUCCAGCUGGAGUGCAGGAGAGGUAAGCGGAAUUCCUAGUGUAGCGGUGAAAUGCAUAGAUAUUAGGAGGAACACCAGUGGCGAAGGCGGCUUACUGGACUGUAACUGACACUGAGGCUCGAAAGCGUGGGGAGCAAACAGGAUUAGAUACCCUAGUAU
Molecule: ribosomal RNA, 448 nt
Filed under: uncultured bacterium
Lineage: Bacteria
Description: bacterial SSU rRNA
Rfam family: Bacterial small subunit ribosomal RNA
Source: RNAcentral